This 6093-nucleotide long non-coding RNA is filed under the name Nicotiana benthamiana. RNAcentral describes it as "long non-coding RNA (NBEN_LNC028959)". Lineage: Eukaryota; Viridiplantae; Streptophyta; Magnoliopsida; Solanales; Solanaceae. The record is from RNAcentral.
GUAGUGGGGAGUCUCUAAUGGUGGUUGCCCUCUCUCUGUUUCCUAUGAUUUCCUUUUCCAUUUUCACCAAACGGGGCACUAAUAAACCACCAUUCAUCUUAAGUGUUUAAUUGGUCUAGCUCUGAUCUAUACACACACACACACAUAUAUAUAUAUAUAUAUAUACACACACAAUAGGUGAAAAAGGGUUUAGGAUUUAAAACCUAACCCUUUUUCCCUGCUGCUUCUUCUUCCUCAUCAUCAAAAUUAUUAUUAUUAUUAUUAUUAUUAUUAUUACUCCCCUUUUUGCUGCUUCUUCUUCUUCUCCUUCCUCAUCAGCAAAAUUAUUAUUACUCCCUCCGUUACAAUUUAUUGUUACUGUAUCGGAUGAGAGGCUGUGAUGAUUAAGGUGUCGUCUAGAGUUCGUCGGGGUAAUGGAGCAGCCCGUAUCUUGGCGGGGCGACCCGGAAGGUACUAUUUUAAUAGUGCAACUGCGGUUUGCAGCCAUGGCGGUUGCUUUGUCUCCGUUCCCCUGAUUUUAUCACAGAUCUGAGCCUCAAUAUACCCCCAAAAAAGUACUAUUUAUGUUUGAUAAUUUCAAAUUUUGCUUUAAUGAAGUUACAUUUGCUUUAAGUUUUAGUUUGCUGACUCUUUUGUUUAGAAUUUGUACAGGUAGCUAUUAAAGUCAUUAUAUUUUUACAAUUAUACAAUGCCUAUUUUACAUUCACUUAGACUCUUUUGUUUAGAAUUUGUACAUGUAGCUAUUGAAGUCAUUACACAACAACAACCCAGCAUAAUCCGAUUUAGUGGGGUCUGGGUCCGGAGAGGGUAGCGUGUACGCAGACCUGACUCCUACCCUGCUAGAGAGGCUAUUUCCAAAUAGAAAUCCGGCAUCCCUCCAAUAACUUAACACCUUGCUCUUGGGGGAGACUCGAACUCACAACAUCUCGGUUGGAAAUGGGGUUCCUUCUUUAUUGAAGUCAUUAUAUUUUUACAAAUAUAGAAUGCCUAUUUUACAUUCACUUAGAUGAUCAUAUUAUAGAAUUUUUUAUUUAAAACAAAGGAGAUUGGAUUUUGUUUGAAGGAAGUUUUUCUUUUCAGUUAACUAAGGUGAACAUCUGACAUUUUAAGUUUUUUAGGAAAUCGAAAACGAGAAAAAGGACAGGGGGGAAUGUUUAGUUGACCAACUUGGGUAAAAAGAAAAUAUUUACAGUCAUGAGUGCAUAAUCUGUACUACUGAUUAAAGAAGAAAAGUUGUGGUUUUAGUAUAAAUCAAUCUGUAAAAUCCCUCAUAUUAUUCCCUUUAGAUAUUAACUUAAGAUAUAUAUUGAGAAAUGAUCCAACUUUAGAAGAGUAAUGGAAUAUUAAAGUAUUUGUCUUACCUUUAAACCCUCACCUUUUCAUCUUGCUCUUGUCCUCUUUUUCUUUUCUGUUGUUUUCUUUUGUUGAUAGGUGGCGUAAUUUUAUUUCUACCACAUGAACAGAAAUUGGAAUUAGCAACUCAAGAGUAAUCAGUCAAUGGAAACAAUAAAUGAGAAUGAGGUAACAUAGGGAUGAGAAGUAUCUAGGGAUGUUACCUCCAUCUGCAUGCAAAUGAUUACUCACUGUUCCGCUUUCUUUGUCAUUAUAUCGCCCUCACAAAAUCAGUAUCAGCUGGUGCUUAUCUGUAGGCUGUGAUGAUAAAGCUUGUUGAGUUGAUCGGGUUUUGGUAUACUAGACCCGUAUCUUGGCAGGGCAAACCAAGACGCCUUGUAAGCUGAGUAAUGAGUAUUGGAACGAAAUAGAUUGUGAUUCAGGUUGUUGUUGUUGUUGUAUGCUACUCUGGUUUGCAGCCAUGCCGGUGUCCUUUUACUUUACCCGAUUGUGCGACUGAUCUGAGCCUACUUGUGUACUCAACCAAGAAUAAUCAGUCAGAGUGAAAUAUAUGUAAAAACUCUGAGAAUAAGAAUGAGGCAGCAUAGUGAUGCCAGUUUGUAUUGAUGGUUGCCCCAUCUGGAUGCCAAUGAUUUCUCAAUGAUAUGCUUCUGUCAAAGCUGGAACCUUUAUUUAUUGACGAUCUGCUGUGUUCUUGUAAUUUCUGCCUUUAAUUUCGUGGUCAAUAUCGUUUUCCCUUUCAAGAAUCAGAAUCAUAUGAUCAAUAUUAUGAUGCUUUUGUGUAGGCUCUGAUGAUAAACUUCUUGGAUUCAUCGUGUUUGGGUUAAAUGGAGCCAAAACCAGGUCUCUCAUAAGCUUAGAUUAUUGGGUAUUGAAAUAGAGCAAAAUCGAUAUUGAGGAGUCAUAAAGUUGAUCCGGUCGGUUUUGCUAUUGUGGCGUAGUUCUUGUUGUAUUAUGUUAUCAUGGUUUGCAGCUAUGACGGUGUUCCUUUUCUUUACCUGAUUUUAUGUCGUAUCUGCGCCUACAGAUGUUCUCUCCCACUUUAUUGAUAGAUAGGUAUAUUGAUUGAUAGAUAGAUGAAAGUGAUGGAAAUAACUUGUAAAUACAAAUGCAAAUAACUUAAAGAUAUGCUUGGAGAAAGGGGAAGGUAAAUGGGGUAAAAACAUGAAUCUAUUUUGGAUUUGUGAUGACAUUUCUUUGGGCAAGUGACUGAAGAAUUGACUUCACUUGGUGAGGCAGUAAAUACUAAAUAAAAUCCACAGUUGGUAUUUAAUUUUUGUGCUUCUUAUUUUCUCAAUUCUUGAAAUUCCCUUGCCUGUUAUUUUUCUCCUUUUCUUGAUAAAAGUCCUUUGCCUGUAACUUCUCUUGAGUCUUGUCAUAUUGGUUCUAUCUCCUGCAGGUAGUGAUAUCUAGCUACACUGGUGUCUGGUAUUCAGGGCUUCUGCAAUAAUAUGCUCUUAAUUCCCAUUGCUGCUUACACCCGACAUAGUAACUACUAUGAUGGUUAUUGAAUAUAGUAAUUUGACAUAGUUAUCUUUCUUUCUAUGGACAACAGUGCAGCUGGUAGUUACAGUUGGUGAUGCAGUUGGCAAUUUGGAUCAGCCUAUUUGUUGGCUUGAUGAGCUUCUGUGGCAUUGAGAUGAUGAAGUAUGUUUGGUGGAUGUUCAUGAGCUGAAAUUUUCACCGAGUGUAAUGGUUUUCUUUCCCUUUGUUGUUUCACUAAGCCUGACAGUUUUCGGCAAGAAUUUCUGUUGUUUAGAUAUAUAGUUCAUAUUUGUUUCCACAGCACCUUAUCAGACAAUUUAUGAUACCACGAGACAGUUUAUAAUCAAAUCAAAAUUACUCCUUGAACUCAAAUUUUUCCGACAUUGCACAUAGAUAGAUAUUUAUGUGAGAAAUGGUAGAAGUUUGACGAAUAUUGCUUUUUGAACCUAUAAUUCUAAAAGUACAAUAUAUUUCAGUGCGAAAAUCGUAUAUUCACUCCAAACUGUGAUAAUUUCAUGGGGGGGGGGGGGGCCUUUUUGGCNNNNNNNNNNNNNNNNNNNNNNNNNNNNNNNNNNNNNNNNNNNNNNNNNNNNNNNNNNNNNNNNNNNNNNNGGGGGGGGGGGGGGGGGCCUAUUUGGCCGCCUCAUUUAAGCUAUACUUAUAUUUUUAAAAUUAGGUAACCUAUACCCUAAUUUUGACAACUUCAUAAAACAUUUAAAUCAUUUAAUGUUAGAAAGAGAGAUAUAACAUCUCCAGUUAAAUUCUAUUACCAUUUGUUUGUCUCAUCAAUUGUACAAAUUUCCUUUGUCCCUGCUCUUGAAACUUUUGAAUGGUGGUUUGUUUGCAAAUGCCAAAGGGGGAUGAUAAUAAUAAUAAAUAAAAUGAAGAACUACAGAUAAAAACUUUUGAUUUUGUCUAAAGUUUGCACUGCAAAUUAAAGAACUUCAGUCUAAUUUAUUUAAAGUUUGCACUACACACUAAAGAACUUUAGAUUAAUUUACGAAUUGAAGCUUUUUUGAUUGCUUUUGCUGGUCAGGCCAAACUUCAGACGUAAAUUUCUGAAGUUUUACUUUGAUAAGGUCACACUUCAGGCAAAAAAUUUUCUUGUUCAAACUUUAGACUAAAUUCUUGUUACUUCAGGCCCCAUAUGUCUGAAUUUACCCGAAAAAUAGGUACGCUUGUAAAUUUUUUUUGCAAAGUGAGUAUAAGUUAAAUGGUAACCAAAAAAUUGGGUAUAGAUGCAAAUGCCCCUCCAAAUCUAGGAAUGGGUAUCCUAGGUUUGGAGAGGGCAACCCGGUAUCCUCCUUGAUAGGAAUGAUGUUAUUUAUUAGAGCUACUUUCAUUAAUAGCACACUAUUAAAAAUAUAAUACAAAAGAUUAGCUUUAAUUAAUGAUUAACAAAUAUGACAGUAAAAUAGUUAUACAUAUAGCAGAUUUAAUUCAAUUCAAAUCAGAAAGAAUCAACCUGUUUAAAAAGGCAGUCCUAGUAUUUAAUAUAUCCUAUUUUUUCUCUCCAUUCCAUAUCAUGUUUUAUAUUUUUUUUAGAAAUCAAUCCAUUCCAUAACAGAUUUUUCCUUUCCAUACAUGGAGCUUUUUAUAUAAUGUAAUGUAGCAAAUUAUACAUCUUUAUAUUCUAAUAAAAUAAAAUACAUAUAUUUUAUGAAAAAAAUAUAAUGUAUGUUUGUGGUGUAUACAUUACAAAUCAUAUAUUUUUUUUAGGAAAAUUCAUACAUACAUAUAUAUAUAUAUAUAUAUAUAUAACAAGGUAAAUCAAUAAGAAAUAUNNNNNNNNNNNNNNNNNNNNNNNNNNNNNNNNNNNNAUUUAAUUAUAUAUCAUCGAUAAAUUCCAUAACAUCAUCAUGGUUCUGAACUUUCGACAAUAAUCGGAAGUACAUGUAUAUAAGGGGCCGUGUAUGUAUUCAGCCUAUUAUUACCAUUGUUCUUAUUGUUAUUGUAGCGGAUGAGGCUGUGAUGAUUAAGAUUGUCUAGAGUUCGUGUCGGGGCAAUGGAGCAGCCCGUAUCUUGGCGGGCUGACCCCGGAAAGGCCUAUUUUUACAAUGCAACUGAUGGUUGCAGCCAUGGCGGUUGCAUUGUCUUCUUCACCCCGAUUUUAUCACAGAUUUGAGCCUCAAAANNNNNNNNNNNNNNNNNNNNNNNNNNNNNNNNNNNNNNNNNNNNNNNNNNNNNNNNNNNNNNNNNNNNNNNNNNNNNNNNNNNNNNNNNNNNNNNNNNNNCCCCCCCCCCCCCUCAAAUAAUAAUAAAAAAUAAAAUUCCUUUAAUGAAGUUACAUUUGCUUUUCAUUUUAGUUUAGAAAUUUCUGUAAAGAUAGUGAUUGAAGUCAUUAUAUUACAAUUUACAUAUGUACAGUGCCUUUUUUCCCGUCAUGUAGAUGAUUACAUAAUAAACAGUUUUGUCUUUUUUUAAAUAAAGGUGAAUAGAUUUGUUUCAAGAAAGUUUUUGUUCCAAGUUAAAAUUCUCUGAUAUUUUGGACUAAAAUGGUGAAAGAAUGGACUUUUGUGUUGAAAGAUUUUCUCACGAACUCUAGACUGAAAGAAUGAGGCGGUGGGGAGUCUUUAACGGUGGUUGCCCUCUCUCUGUUUUCUGCCUAUGAUUUCCUUUUCCAUUUUGCUGUACUAAUAAACCACCAUUGUUGAAAAUGGACAUAGAUUGCCCCUUAAACUUGCAACUGUUAAAAUCCCAAUUUUACAGUUUAGGGUUUACUGUCUGACCCCAUAAUCUGCUUAUGCUUCUUCACUUCUUUCCUCAUUUUCCUCUUCCUCUUCCUCAUGGCGGGCUUUUACUGUGACAGAUGAUGAAGCUGUGAUGAUAAAAGGUGUUUAGAGCUGGAUCAGGCAUUGAAACGACCCGUAUCUUGGCAGGGUGACCCGGAAGGCAUCUUCAUGGUUGCAACCGAGGUAUGCAGCCAUGGAGGUUGCAUUGUCUCUGCUGAUCUUAUCACAGAUCUGAGCCUCAAAAUUGAGGGGUUUAUUUGGCCCUUUUCCCUUUUAAAAAUGGAUGGAGACCAAAAUUGUUAGAUUUUUUUUUGUAUAUUAAAGGACCAUCAUAAACCUCCUCAAAGAUGACGGAUCAAUUUUCUCAAGAGAAGUGUAUGCUUUUUACGUACUGUCGGACUAUUUGAUCAUUUUCUGGAAAAUCUGCUAUAUUACCCUCCAUUUGAAUUGGAUUAGACCAGAAAUGAGAGAAUGAGGCAACAGAGCGUAUGGGAUUUUUUUACAAGGGUGGUUGCCCGUCUCU